This 512-nucleotide ribosomal RNA is filed under the name uncultured bacterium. RNAcentral describes it as "bacterial SSU rRNA". It matches the Rfam family "Bacterial small subunit ribosomal RNA", at positions 9 to 515 of the family's 1533-position model. The record is from RNAcentral.
GAGUUUGAUCUUGGCUCAGAUUGAACGCUGGCGGCAGGCCUAACACAUGCAAGUCGAGCGGUAGAGAGAAGCUUGCUUCUCUUGAGAGCGGCGGACGGGUGAGUAAUGCCUAGGAAUCUGCCUGGUAGUGGGGGAUAACGCUCGGAAACGGACGCUAAUACCGCAUACGUCCUACGGGAGAAAGCAGGGGACCUUCGGGCCUUGCGCUAUCAGAUGAGCCUAGGUCGGAUUAGCUAGUUGGUGAGGUAAUGGCUCACCAAGGCGACGAUCCGUAACUGGUCUGAGAGGAUGAUCAGUCACACUGGAACUGAGACACGGUCCAGACUCCUACGGGAGGCAGCAGUGGGGAAUAUUGGACAAUGGGCGAAAGCCUGAUCCAGCCAUGCCGCGUGUGUGAGGAAGGUCUUCGGAUUGUAAAGCACUUUAAGUUGGGAGGAAGGGCAGUAAAUUAAUACUUUAGCUGUUUUGACGUUACCGACAGAAUAAGCACCGGCUAACUCUGUGCCAGCACG